UCCUACGGGGGGCUGCAGUGGGGAAUAUUGCACAAUGGGCGAAAGCCUGAUGCAGCGACGCCGCGUGAGGGAUGACGGCCUUCGGGUUGUAAACCUCUUUCAGUAGGGAAGAAGCGAAAGUGACGGUACCUGCAGAAGAAGCACCGGCUAACUACGUGCCAGCAGCCGCGGUAAUACGUAGGGUGCGAGCGUUAUCCGGAAUUAUUGGGCGUAAAGAGCUCGUAGGCGGUUUGUCGCGUCUGUCGUGAAAGUCCGGGGCUUAACCCCGGAUCUGCGGUGGGUACGGGCAGACUAGAGUGCAGUAGGGGAGACUGGAAUUCCUGGUGUAGCGGUGGAAUGCGCAGAUAUCAGGAGGAACACCGAUGGCGAAGGCAGGUCUCUGGGCUGUAACUGACGCU
RNAcentral lists this ribosomal RNA (398 nucleotides) under Micrococcus luteus. RNAcentral's name for it is "bacterial SSU rRNA". It matches the Rfam family "Bacterial small subunit ribosomal RNA", at positions 337 to 747 of the family's 1533-position model. Lineage: Bacteria; Bacillati; Actinomycetota; Actinomycetes; Micrococcales; Micrococcaceae. The record is from RNAcentral.